This is a long non-coding RNA of Tympanuchus pallidicinctus (lesser prairie-chicken), 1575 nucleotides long. RefSeq lists it as uncharacterized. The transcript has 5 exons. Lineage: Eukaryota; Metazoa; Chordata; Aves; Galliformes; Phasianidae. The record is from RefSeq and is a predicted model, not a curated record.
CACUGCAGCGGGACGGAGCACGCGCAGUGUUCCGCCACCGCCUGCCUGACCUUGAGCUGCGGCACGCUUCUGCGCAUGCGUUGUCGCAGGGCGGGAGGAUCUUUAGUCACGUGAGCAUCCUCGCGCUAAGUCGCUGAAGGGUGGUGAAGGGGCGCCAUUUUGGUGCUGAGGGGUGAUGCUGAUGUGUUGCUGUUGGAGGCUUAGGGUGUUGCUGUGUGAGCGGCUCUGGAGCUGUGAGGAUGGGAUUGGAGAGCCCUGGAAAGAGGAUGGGAAGGGGCCCUCGAUUGAGGCUGUGCAUAAGCAGUGGCAGUCAGUGCAGAGCAGUGAGGAAAGGAGCCAGCUUUAGGAGGUGUGGGCAUAGGGCUGGCUGGGCUGGGGCACAGAGGAGGCUGCAGUGAGGCUGUGGCUGAUGUGAACUCAUCCUGGGUACUGCGGGUCAGCAUAGGGUGGAAUUGGUGUUCAGGCUGAUCUCCAAGCAGAAGAAGGGAAGGUAACCAUGUAUGGCACUGUGUGCAAAUGAAAUGUAGAGGAGGAACGUUUCCUAGUGUUCUGUGGCUGAGAUUCAGAGUCUGUGCUCAGUGCAGGCAGCUUCAGAGAUGCUCCUCGCGUCCUGGAUAAUGUUCCCUGCCAGUGAGACCACCGUGUAACUUUUUUUUGCUGUGACAUUGUAAUGGGAGGUGGAGACACCUCGAGGAGAAGGUCGAAACAGACAGCAGCAGUUGCAGGCAGUAAUGUGCCUCUAUGACUGGAGAAAAUCCGGCCCCAAUUACAGAAAUGUCAGGAAGACUUUCCAUGUUUCAGAUCUGUUUCGGUACGUUUUCACUUCAUGAUGCCGAGUACUGAUGCUCUCAGGAGGUUGCACAAAAAGGACAUAAAACCAUAAUAAGUUUUCAGAGAGGAUAUCAGCAUACCAUCUGAAGGUUAUCCCACUGUGGUUCAUUCUGUUCAGGGUUUGAAGGACAAAAGGAUCACAUUGAUUUCCAUGAUGUUUAAGGCUAAACACAUGAAACCACGUUCUCACCUGGACAUUAUUUCUCCCUGACUUUAUGAAACGUGACAACUUGAAAAUGCUGCAUCUGAUCAAUUGUAAACAUUCAGAUCAAGUGAUUGGGCAGUAGCACUCAUUUGUGUUCCUGGCAUACCAAUACAUUUUUUCUCCUCUCUGAGAACUGGAGUUAUCACAUCACUGAAAGAUCUGUGGCUGGAUAAAUAAUACAGAGCUUGUAUGCAAUCUGUGCAAAACUGAAGGAAAACAGAUCUGAAGUUCAGAAUGGAGGAAAGGAUGGUGGACAUGCAACAACAGCAGGAGUGAAGGUAUGCAUGGAAACGCUGAUAGUGACAUUGAGAGGAGGUAGAUGGGGCACUGUGCUGCUGUUGUAGGAGGGAAUGAAGGAUUCUCAAGGAGAGUAGGAAGAGGAUUCCUGAAGGGGAGAAGUAUUGGCAUCACACCAACCUGUGUGCAGCCUGCUUGUGAGCACGUGUGUGCUUCAGGUAUUAGAGGGGAGGCUGAGAGAGGGCUUUGGAAAGGUGGCACAUGAGGCAUCUGUGAAGCAGGGGGGAGUGUUAAAAAAUGAG